GAUGAACGCUGGCGGCGUGCCUAAUACAUGCAAGUCGAGCGAACGGACGAGAAGCUUGCUUCUCUGAUGUUAGCGGCGGACGGGUGAGUCACACGUGGAUAACCUACCUAUAAGACUGGGAUAACUUCGGGAAACCGGAGCUAAUACCGGAUAAUAUUUUGCACCGCAUGGUUCAAAAGUGAAAGACGGUCUUGCUGUCACUUAUAGAUGGAUCCGCGCUGCAUUAGCUAGUUGGUAAGGUAACGGCUUACCAAGGCAACGAUGCAUAGCCGACCUGAGAGGGUGAUAGGCGACACUGGAACUGAGACACGGUCCAGACGCCUACGGGAGGCAGCAGUAGGGAAUCGUCCGCAAUGGGCGAAAGCCUGACGGAGCAACGCCGCGUGAGUGAUGAAGGUCUUCGGAUCGGAAAACUCUGUUAUUAGGGAAGAACAUAUGUGUAAGGAACUGUGCACAUCUUGACGGUACCUAAUCAGAAAGCCACGGCUAACUACGUG
Molecule: ribosomal RNA, 497 nt
Filed under: uncultured bacterium
Lineage: Bacteria
Description: partial 16S ribosomal RNA
Rfam family: Bacterial small subunit ribosomal RNA
Source: RNAcentral